RNAcentral lists this ribosomal RNA (494 nucleotides) under uncultured bacterium. RNAcentral's name for it is "partial 16S ribosomal RNA". It matches the Rfam family "Bacterial small subunit ribosomal RNA", at positions 28 to 507 of the family's 1533-position model. The record is from RNAcentral.
GACGAACGCUGGCGGCGUGCUUAACACAUGCAAGUCGAACGGUGACGCGCCUUCCUUUUUGGUGGGUGUGGAUGAGUGGCGAACGGGUGAGUAACACGUGAGUAACCUGCCCCCUUCUUCUGGAUAACCGCAUGAAAGUGUGGCUAAUACGGGAUAUUCUGGCUCUGUCGCAUCAUGGGUCUGGGUAGGAUAUUGUUUCGGUAGGGGAUGGGCGCGCGGCCGAUCAGCUUGUUGGUGGGGUGAUGGCCUAGCAAGGCGGUGACGGAUAGCCGGCCUGGGAGGGUGCACGAGCACGCUGGGGAGGAGGCACAGCCAAGACGGGAACGGGAGACAGCAGUGAGGAAUAUGGGACGCUGGGCGGGAGCAUGAUGGAGCGACGGCGAGUGACUGAUGGAGGCCUGCGGGUUGUGAACUGCUGGCGCUAGGGAAGCAGAGCUCCCUUGUCUGUGAGUGGAUUGACAGUAGCGGGAGAAGAAGCGCCGGCUAACUACGUG